CUACGUGCCAGCAGCCGCGGUAAUACGUAGGGCGCGAGCGUUAUCCGGAUUUAUUGGGCGUAAAGCGCUUGUAGGCGGUUAGUCGAGUCUGCUGUGAAAGGCCGGGGCUUAACUCUGUAUUGCAGUGGGUACGGGCAGACUAGAGUACUGUAGGGGAGACUGGAAUUACAGGUGUAGCGGUGGAAUGCGCAGAUAUCAGGAGGAAUGCCGAUGGCGAAGGCAGCUUACUGGACAGAUACUGACGCUAAGAAGCGAAAGCGUGGGGAGCGAACAGGAUUAGAUACCCUGGUAGUCCACGCUGUAAACGUUGGGUACUAGGUGUUGGGGACAUUCCACGUUUUCCGCGCCCAAGCAAACGCGUUAAGUGCCCCGCCUGGGGAGUACGUACGCAAGGCUAAAACUCAAAGGAAUUGACGGGGACCCGCACAAGCGGCGGAGCAUGCGGUUUAAUUCGAUGCAACGCGAGGAACCUUACCAAGGCUUGACAUC
Molecule: ribosomal RNA, 489 nt
Filed under: uncultured bacterium
Lineage: Bacteria
Description: bacterial SSU rRNA
Rfam family: Bacterial small subunit ribosomal RNA
Source: RNAcentral